AUGGCCUCUGCAGCGCUCUUCUUCGUCUUCCUCGCCCUGGCCACCAUGCAGUCGCAGACCGCCUCGUCCGAGAAGGAGACGCACCUCAAGGUGUACUGGCACGAUGUGGUGAGCGGACCGGACCCGACGUCGGUGCCUGUGGCGCAGGCGGCGACGACCAACACCUCCAAGACAGCCUUCGGCAUGGUGAUGGUCAUUGACGACCCGCUCUCCGAGGGCCCCGGCCUCAACUCGUCCAGGCUCAUGGGCCGCGCCCAAGGCACCUACAUCGCCGCCGGCAAGGACCAGCUCGCGCUGCUCAUGAACAUGAACUUCGUCUUCACCGCUGGCAAGUACAACGGCAGCAGCGUCGCCAUUAUGGGUCGCAACGCCGUGUUCACCAAGGUACGUGAGAUGGCUAUCAUCGGCGGUACAGGCGUUUUCAGGUGGGCCCGCGGGUACGCGCAGGCCAGGACGCACACCUUGGACCUCAUGACCGGCGACGCCACCGUCGAGUACAACAUAUUCAUCAGGCACUAG
RNAcentral lists this ribosomal RNA (519 nucleotides) under Triticum aestivum (bread wheat). Its description in RNAcentral is "partial small subunit ribosomal RNA". The record is from RNAcentral. Lineage: Eukaryota; Viridiplantae; Streptophyta; Magnoliopsida; Poales; Poaceae.